Molecule: long non-coding RNA, 324 nt
Organism: Esox lucius (northern pike)
Lineage: Eukaryota; Metazoa; Chordata; Actinopteri; Esociformes; Esocidae
Source: Ensembl
CCGUGCCCUGUUUCGCGAGCCCUCACUUGGAGUUUAGAGUAGAGAACUGUCGGAGAACUGCGGGUGAAGCCAUGCAGGGGAGUGUUUAGGAUCGUCUACGCAGGAGCGCUGACAAAAUUGUUGAAAUAUCCACGGAUUUUCUUAUCCCCGCAUAAAACAGCAAUACUAGAGUGGGGUUAUGGUUGUCAAAAGAUUGAAGAAGCACGAGAGAAGAUACCGGACCUAAUGAGCAUCAGCCUGGGGGAACUUAUACAGAGGAAAGAGAGAAGAUGGACCAAUUGGAUGCUGGCGAUGGUUCCACUCAGAAAAGGCCUUGCCAUGGUC